RNAcentral lists this small RNA (750 nucleotides) under Thliphthisa purpurea. Its description in RNAcentral is "eukaryotic LSU rRNA". The stretch from base 197 to 352 matches the Rfam family "5.8S ribosomal RNA". The record is from RNAcentral. Lineage: Eukaryota; Viridiplantae; Streptophyta; Magnoliopsida; Gentianales; Rubiaceae.
UCCUGCAGACGACCGCGAACACGUUAACAAAAACACGCGGGCUGCYGGGGGGAUCGGGUACACACCCGUCCCCAYGGCCUCCCGCACCAAACCUAACUCUCGGCGCGGAAAGCGCCAAGGACUACUCAAACGGACUGCCCCCUUCCCCCGCGGAUUCCGCGGUGGGCUGGGCCGGCAUCUGAAACGUAACCAAUACGACUCUCGACAACGGAUAUCUAGGCUCUCGCAUCGAUGAAGAACGUAGCAAAAUGCGAUACUUGGUGUGAAUUGCAGAAUCCCGUGAAUCAUCGAGUUUUUGAACGCAAGUUGCGCCCGAGGCCACCCGGCCGAGGGCACGUCUGCCUGGGCGUCACGCAUCUUGUCGCCACACCAACCCCACUGCGGGUGCGGUGCGGCRGAUGUUSRYCUCCCGUUCCCUCAGCGGCGCGGCUGGCCCAAAUGCGAGUCCCCCGGAUAAGGGACGUCACGGCUACAGGUGGUUGAAAUCCAUUUCAUUCUCGCUCUCAGUCUUGACGGCCCCCCGGCGGAGCAAAACGACCCCCSRGGCCUUCCGCGYGCGAGCGCGCGAGGCCCYCGAACGCGCCCCAGGUCAGGCGGGAUCACCCGCUGAGUUUAAGCAUAUCAAUAAGCGGAGGAAAAGAAACUAACAAGGAYUCCCCUAGUAACGGCGAGCGAAACGGGAACAGUCCAAGCUUAAAAUCGGCCGCCCCCGGCGGUCGAAUUGUAGCCUGUAGAAGCGUCCUCAGCGGC